RNAcentral lists this transfer RNA (87 nucleotides) under Acidobacteriota bacterium. RNAcentral's name for it is "Acidobacteria bacterium tRNA-Tyr". It matches the Rfam family "tRNA". Rfam says of the family: Transfer RNA (tRNA) molecules are approximately 80 nucleotides in length. Their secondary structure includes four short double-helical elements and three loops (D, anti-codon, and T loops). Further hydrogen bonds mediate the characteristic L-shaped molecular structure. tRNAs have two regions of fundamental functional importance: the anti-codon, which is responsible for specific mRNA codon recognition, and the 3' end, to which the tRNAs corresponding amino acid is attached (by aminoacyl-tRNA synthetases). tRNAs cope with the degeneracy of the genetic code in two manners: having more than one tRNA (with a specific anti-codon) for a particular amino acid; and 'wobble' base-pairing, i.e. permitting non-standard base-pairing at the 3rd anti-codon position. Lineage: Bacteria; Pseudomonadati; Acidobacteriota. The record is from RNAcentral. RNAcentral also lists the same sequence under 2 other names.
GGAGAGAUGGCUGAGCGGUCAAAAGCAGCAGACUGUAAAUCUGCCGGGCCUUGCCCUACGAAGGUUCGAAUCCUUCUCUCUCCACCA